Long non-coding RNA from Limanda limanda (common dab), 983 nucleotides. RefSeq lists it as uncharacterized. NCBI's taxonomy places the organism in Eukaryota, Metazoa, Chordata, Actinopteri, Pleuronectiformes, Pleuronectidae. The transcript has 5 exons. The record is from RefSeq and is a predicted model, not a curated record.
CCGCAUACAGCCACGAGUACUUGAGCUGGUUGUGUGGAGCUCAAGACAAAAUGUUUCCAUACUUUCUCCUGUGUCGCUUUAAAGUCUGGAUCCAAAUGGAAAUCACCACCCUGGAAAAGGUGUCAUGACUCCAACCUCCAUCUUUACAUGAUCAGACCACGUGUCCGAGCAGCAGGAAGUCACUGUCCUACAGGAGGAGGACCUCCGUAAAGUGAACAUGCUGGUACUUGUGAGGAUGAGCCUUGUCGAGCCUAGAGGAGAAACAUGCAGAGCAUGUGCUGUGAUUCAAGCUCUCAGUCCUGAAGCCGUCCCCGCACACUGAAGCAGCUGUGAUCUCCAGCCGGUGAAGAACGGCCGGGCGAUGGUACGUUUGUACACUGAGGCGGUGUGGCCUAGGGGGUAGAGUGGGCGUUUUCCAACAUGAAGGUUGCCGGUCAAUCCCCACUUCCCCAUCUGCCAAAGUGUCCUUGGCAAGAUACUGAACCCCUAAAUGGCCCCUCAAAAAUGUCGAGUGUACGAAUGUAAGUCGCUUUGGACAAAAGCGUCAGCUAAAUAACAUGUAAUAUUAUUCAUAGCCCUUUAAAUGCUAGAGGAGGCACGGACGAAUUCUGUUCCAGCUGCUCUGUGUUGGACACAGUCAGACACCAUGCAAAAGUAUCGUCUCAUUCCUGCUAUAUGACUGGAUGUGUGCUGUUCUGUGCCGCAUCUUACUCGGCGGGAAUGAGUACAGUGACGCACGAGGAAACUGAAGAUGCUGCUCUGUCAAUUUCUUUUCGUUUUUUCAUUUUUUGUUAAAUUCUACAGAGCAGCAGAUGUCUGUGGCUGAAGCUGGGCUGAGGAAGAACUGUCCACUCCAACUCGUGAAUCAUCAUUGGAAGGCAGAUCUAAUACGUGUGCUCCAUGCCCAUGGAUGAGUUCUAUCAAAGAUGUAGUGGAUGUGAAUGUACCUCCCUCUUUUUAUAAUAAACUUGAAACUGGUUUCA